This 236-nucleotide ribosomal RNA is filed under the name uncultured bacterium. RNAcentral describes it as "partial 16S ribosomal RNA". It matches the Rfam family "Bacterial small subunit ribosomal RNA", at positions 105 to 334 of the family's 1533-position model. The record is from RNAcentral.
CGGUGCGUAACACGUGAGCAACCUGCCGUUUGGUGGUGGGGGAGUAGCCGGGCUAACGCCCCGGGGUAAUACCGCAUACGGUUCUCGAGGGGAGUCCCUUGGGAAAGAAACCUCCGGGGCACAGAGAGGGGCUCGCGGCCUAUCAGCUAGUUGGCGGGGUAAUGGCCCACCAAGGCGACGACGGGUAGCUGGUCUGAGAGGAUGGCCAGCCACAUUGGGACUGAGAGACGGCCCAG